UCGACCAAGUCCCUACACCAAAGAGGUUAAUAAGAGAAGAGCUUCGGGAGCGAUAUACGAAGGGGUUAUGUUGGCAUUGUGACGAGCCGUGGAGCCGUGAGCAUCGCUAUAGUAAAGGGAGACUUCUUAUGAUUGAACCAAUAGAAGAAGAGGUCAUUGAACAUCCAGAAGAGAGCCUUGAACAUGAAGAAGAAGAUGCAAAAG
This 204-nucleotide long non-coding RNA is filed under the name Musa acuminata (dwarf banana). RNAcentral describes it as "long non-coding RNA (MACU_LNC008623)". Lineage: Eukaryota; Viridiplantae; Streptophyta; Magnoliopsida; Zingiberales; Musaceae. The record is from RNAcentral.